RNAcentral lists this ribosomal RNA (831 nucleotides) under Streptomyces sp. Its description in RNAcentral is "bacterial SSU rRNA". It matches the Rfam family "Bacterial small subunit ribosomal RNA", at positions 68 to 914 of the family's 1533-position model. The record is from RNAcentral. Lineage: Bacteria; Bacillati; Actinomycetota; Actinomycetes; Kitasatosporales; Streptomycetaceae.
GAUGAAGCCCUUCGGGGUGGAUUAGUGGCGAACGGGUGAGUAACACGUGGGCAAUCUGCCCUUCACUCUGGGACAAGCCCUGGAAACGGGGUCUAAUACCGGAUAACACUUCCGUCCUCCUGGACGGUGGUUAAAAGCUCCGGCGGUGAAGGAUGAGCCCGCGGCCUAUCAGCUUGUUGGUGAGGUAAUGGCUCACCAAGGCGACGACGGGUAGCCGGCCUGAGAGGGCGACCGGCCACACUGGGACUGAGACACGGCCCAGACUCCUACGGGAGGCAGCAGUGGGGAAUAUUGCACAAUGGGCGAAAGCCUGAUGCAGCGACGCCGCGUGAGGGAUGACGGCCUUCGGGUUGUAAACCUCUUUCAGCAGGGAAGAAGCGAAAGUGACGGUACCUGCAGAAGAAGCGCCGGCUAACUACGUGCCAGCAGCCGCGGUAAUACGUAGGGCGCAAGCGUUGUCCGGAAUUAUUGGGCGUAAAGAGCUCGUAGGCGGCUUGUCACGUCGGUUGUGAAAGCCCGGGGCUUAACCCCGGGUCUGCAGUCGAUACGGGCAGGCUAGAGUGUGGUAGGGGAGAUCGGAAUUCCUGGUGUAGCGGUGAAAUGCGCAGAUAUCAGGAGGAACACCGGUGGCGAAGGCGGAUCUCUGGGCCAUUACUGACGCUGAGGAGCGAAAGCGUGGGGAGCGAACAGGAUUAGAUACCCUGGUAGUCCACGCCGUAAACGGUGGGAACUAGGUGUUGGCGACAUUCCACGUCGUCGGUGCCGCAGCUAACGCAUUAAGUUCCCCGCCUGGGGAGUACGGCCGCAAGGCUAAAACUCAAAGGAAUUGAC